GGCCAAUGAUGCAUUUUAUGCACGUAUUAUCAGAUAAAAAGAUGAUGAUAUUGAUUAUUGUCACUACCUCUGAGGCC
This is a non-coding RNA of Benincasa hispida (wax gourd), 77 nucleotides long. The record is from RefSeq and is a predicted model, not a curated record. NCBI's taxonomy places the organism in Eukaryota, Viridiplantae, Streptophyta, Magnoliopsida, Cucurbitales, Cucurbitaceae.